AUGCAGGUGUUUGAAAAGCUUAAAUGGGUAAGGAAGGGGCUUGUGGAUUGGAAAAGACAGAAGUGGCGUAGCUCUAAAGUUUACAUUGACAACUUACGGGAGGAGCUGUGCACUGCUUUUCGAGGUCCAGUCUUUUAGGGCAACAAGAUCAAAAGGCUUGAAAAGGAUCUCAAAACUGAGUUACAAAAAGAGGAACAAUAUUGGAAGUUGAAGUCCAGAGUAGAAUGGCUGCAAGAAGGUGAUAAGAAUACAAAGUUUUUUCAUUCCAAGACCGUAUCUCGCAGAAGAAUUAAUCGGUUGCAUGGGCUAGAGGAUCAAGGUGGCAUUUGGUAUGGGGAGGAAUAUGAUAUUAAGAGGAUUGUGGAAUCAUAUUUUCAGGAUCUAUUCACGUCCGCUAACCCGGUGGGUAUUGAUGAGAUCCUGGAGUGUGUACAUGCCAUUGUUUCGUUCCAGGAUAAUAUUUCUCUAAGUAAGCCAAUUUUAGCUAAUGAAGUGGUGGCUGCUGUCAAGCAACUGAAUCCUAGUAAAUCAUCUGGACUGGACUGAUUCACUGGAAGUUUAUAUCAAAAGUUUUGGGCUUCUUGAGAUGGUUAAUACCUUCUUCCAUUAUGGGAGCAUGCUUCGGAAGUUCAACCACACCCACAUUGUCUUGAUAUCUAAAGUUGAGAACCCUAGAAGAAUGACGCAGUAGCGGACUAUGUCUUUAUGUAAUGUGGUGUAUAAAAUCAUAUCUAAGGUGUUAACUCUUGCAUGUGGUAAGUCUGAACCAAUCGGCUUUUGUUGCAGAGAGACAAAUUACUGAUAAUAUUUUGGUGGUACAUGAGAUACUACAUACCCUCAAAACCGCUCAGGGAUCGGAUCAACAAUACAUGGCUAUGAAAUUAGAUAUGGCUAAAGCAUAUGACAGAGUGAAAUGGGCUUUUUUGGAUGCCAUGAUGGGGAAGUUGAGGUUUGAAAGCCGGUUCCGAGGUUGGAUUAUGGAAUGUGUUACUAUAGUUUCAGUGUCUUGAUCACUCAAGAGGAUCCAUUAUCUAUUUUUUUGUUCCUCAUAUGUGUCGAAGGACUUAAGGUGUUGAUAGGAAUUUAGGAAUCUGGUGCAUGGUGUCCAAUUCGAACUGGGGGUGUAACUAUCUCCCACUUAUUUUUUUUGGUGAUGAUUUGGUUUUGUUAUGUCGAGCGUUGGAAGAGGAAGCCCCUUGUCUGUUAGAGGUUUUGGAGGAUUAUGCGGCUGGUUCAGGCCAAAGUUUAAUUUUGAGAAAAGCUCUUUGUUUUUUGAUCAGUGAUGCACAAAGAGAUUGCGAAGGCUCUUCACGAAACAGAUGCAUAUACAGUGUAAGGAUGGUUUAAUCAAAUAUUUGGGCCUUAAGGCUGAUUUUGGUGCAUCUAAACAACAAAUUUUUGAAUAUGUAUGUGAGAAAAUUAGUGAGCGGCUACAUGGAUGGGCUGAGCAAUUUUUAUUUGCUAUUGGGAAGGAGAUUUUGUUCAAGAUUGUGGCCAUGGCAAUGCCAAAUCAUGCCAUGUCCUGUUUCAAGUUACCGGUGAGCUUAUGCAAGAAAAUUGAGGGCGAGAUUGCCCGGUUUUGGUGGAAGAAUGGUGCAGAUCGUAAACCUAUCCACUGGGUGGGGUGGAAGCAAUUGUCUAGGCUGAAGAAGGAUGGUGGGCUGGGGUUUCGGGAAUUGACUUGUUUCAACCUUGCUAUGUUGGCUAAAAUUGGCUGGAGGAUUUUAUGCCAACCCCAAUCU
This 1742-nucleotide long non-coding RNA is filed under the name Prunus dulcis (almond). RNAcentral's name for it is "sRNA ncRNA". Lineage: Eukaryota; Viridiplantae; Streptophyta; Magnoliopsida; Rosales; Rosaceae. The record is from RNAcentral.